RNAcentral lists this ribosomal RNA (1314 nucleotides) under Thecaphora australiensis. Its description in RNAcentral is "LSU rRNA". It matches the Rfam family "Eukaryotic large subunit ribosomal RNA", at positions 97 to 1455 of the family's 3401-position model. The record is from RNAcentral. Lineage: Eukaryota; Fungi; Basidiomycota; Ustilaginomycetes; Urocystidales; Glomosporiaceae.
AGAGGGAACAGCCCAAGUUUGAAAGCUGGCACCUUCGGUGUCCGCAUUGUAAACUCGAGAAGCGUUAUCCGCGCCGGACCAGGCUUUAAAUCCUUUGGAAUAAGGUACCUUAGAGGGUGAUAGUCCCUUUCAUAGUCUGGAACCACCGGGGCUUUGUGAUGCGCUCUCCAAGAGUCGAGUUGUUUGGGAAUGCAGCUCAAAAUGGGUGGUAAAUGCCAUCUAAGGCUAAAUAUAGAGGAGAGACCGAUAGCGAACAAGUACCGUGAGGGAAAGAUGAAAAGAACUUUGGAAAGAGAGUUAAACAGUACGUGAAAUUGCCGGAAGGGAAGGGUAGGAAGUCAGAUAUGUCUUGGCGGAUUCAGCUUGACCUUUCGAGGUUGGGUGUAUUUCCGUCACGGACAGGCCAGCAUCGAUUUUGGCUGCCGGAUAUUGGUAAGGGGAAUGUGGCAUCCUUUUCGGAGGGUGUGUUAUAGCCUCUUACUUGGUACGGCGGCCGGGAUCGAGGAACGCAGUGCACCCGUAAGGGCGGGCCUUAGGGCACCUUUGCACAUAGGAUGUUGGCUUAAUGGCUUUCUGCCACCCGUCUUGAAACACGGACCAAGGAGUCUAACAUGUAUGCGAGUCUUUGGGCGUGAAAACCCAUGGGCGAAAUGAAAGUGACCUUUAAGGUGGGACUCUUCGGAUGCACCAUCGACCGAUCUCGAUUUUUUAUAAUGACGGAUUUGAGUAAGAGCAUAUAUGUUGGGACCCGAAAGAUGGUGAACUAUGCCUGAAUAGGGUGAAGCCAGGGGAAACUCUGGUGGAAGCUCGUAGCGGUUCUGACGUGCAAAUCGAUCGUAAAAUUUGGGUAUAGGGGCGAAAGACUAAUCGAACCAUUAAACUGAAAUAAUGGGGUUGGGAUCCGGGGGAUCAUUAUACUGAUGAUCGCCUGUGUAUCGCACUCUAUAAAUACUAGGUGGUUAAGAGGCUACUAAAAGGGUAGGCCUAGUGGGCGUUGAGGCUUGCGACACUGUCAAAUUGCGGGGACAGCCUUAGAGCUUUGACUACCGCGGCCGGCCGAAAGGUUUGGUGCAGCACCAGGGUAAUGACCUCGGGGAUGGUAACAACGUCAAAGAUUGGCCAAUCCGCAGCCAAGUCCUAAGGAUUUUUUAUUCUUUACUAAAUCUACGGAUGCAGUUCACAGACUAGAUGUCAGUGGGUUCCUAUUGAUUACUUAAUAGGGGCUUAAGAUAUAGUCGGACCCCCCGCGAAAGCGGGCUCUUUGGAUAAAGCUUGGAAAUCCCUCAACUUUAGAUUUCCUUGCCCGAGCCUAGA